UUAGAGUUGAUUUUUCAUUAGAGUUCUCUUAACUUUUCAUUGUUUGGCUUCACUAAACACAAGUGAAGCAAAAAAUGCAACCAACCUAUUCAGUUUUUCCAUAACAUACAUUAAAUGUUGUAGUAGCUUGGUCUCUUUUGGUGUAGCCUCAUUUGUAUUUGCAGGUGCUGGUUGAUAAUUUAGUCAAUGUAUUUUCUUUAGUUAGCUUGGUGUAGCUUGGUCAUCUUUAAAUAUGCAUUGAUAUUCAUUAAUCAAUUGUUGUAUAAUUUUGUUAUGCUAUACAUCACUUUACUGUAAAUCUUUUGUUCAACAUGUUUUUAUCAUUUUCUUCUUUUAACCUACAUGUAAGCAUCUACUUAUUGUGUAAUAGAAAUUUUGCAAAGGGUAGCUUGAUAUAUUUGGUGUUGAUUUUCUUUUGCAUUGGCAGGUUGUAAUUCAUGGUUUGGGUAGAAAGUUGAAAAUUUCUACACAGCCACAUGAUUUAGCAAAGAUGGUGAAGGGGUUAAGGUUGAUCUGAGAAGUAAAGAUGUUGGCAAAUGUCGGUGAAUGUUGUGGUGCAUGAGAAUUAUUGUCACAUUGUAUGACUGAUUCAUAACAUUAGAAUGAUCAGUACAAAUGUUAGUCAAUGUCGGUGAAUGUUGUUGUGCAUGAUAAUUAUUGUCACAUUGUAUGACAAAAUUCUAAACAUU
RNAcentral lists this long non-coding RNA (689 nucleotides) under Medicago truncatula (barrel medic). RNAcentral's name for it is "long non-coding RNA (MTRU_LNC004116)". The record is from RNAcentral. Lineage: Eukaryota; Viridiplantae; Streptophyta; Magnoliopsida; Fabales; Fabaceae.